This 64-nucleotide transfer RNA is filed under the name Tropidophis haetianus (Haitian dwarf boa). RNAcentral's name for it is "tRNA-Thr". It matches the Rfam family "tRNA". From Rfam's summary of the family: Transfer RNA (tRNA) molecules are approximately 80 nucleotides in length. Their secondary structure includes four short double-helical elements and three loops (D, anti-codon, and T loops). The record is from RNAcentral. Lineage: Eukaryota; Metazoa; Chordata; Lepidosauria; Squamata; Tropidophiidae.
GUCUUAAUAGCUUAAAUUAAAGCGUUGCUUUUGUAAAUCAAAGACGGGAUAAACCCUUAAGACA